This 367-nucleotide unclassified non-coding RNA is filed under the name uncultured Agaricales. RNAcentral's name for it is "sequence contains ITS1". The stretch from base 1 to 105 matches the Rfam family "5.8S ribosomal RNA", at positions 50 to 154 of the family's 154-position model. Lineage: Eukaryota; Fungi; Basidiomycota; Agaricomycetes; Agaricales. The record is from RNAcentral.
GAAAUGCGAUAAGUAAUGUGAAUUGCAGAAUUCAGUGAAUCAUCGAAUCUUUGAACGCACCUUGCACCCUUUGGUAUUCCGAAGGGUAUGCCUGUUUGAGUGUCAUUAAAUUCUCAAUCUUUUAAUGCUUUAUGGUAUUAAAAGUAUUGGAUGUGGAGGUUUAUUGCUGGCUUUAUUUAUAAAGUUGGCUCCUCUUAAAUGCAUUAGUGGCUUCUUUGAAGGAUCCCCAUAUAAUGGUGUGAUAGUAUAUCAACAUCAUAUAAUGGCUAGGUCAUGUAAAAAAUAAAGGAGUUGCUUUCUAACUGUCUUUUUUUGACAAUUUGAACCAUUUGACCUCAAAUCAGGUAGGACUACCCGCUGAACUUAA